ACUCCUACGGGAGGCAGCAGUAGGGAAUCUUCCACAAUGGACGAAAGUCUGAUGGAGCAACGCCGCGUGAACGAUGAAGGCCUUGGUCGUAAAGUUCUGUUGUAAGGGAAGAACAAGUGCCGCAGGCAAUGGCGGCACCUUGACGGUACCUUGCGAGAAAGCCAACGGCUAACUACGUGCCUAGCAGCCGCGGUAAUACGUAGGUGGCAAGCGUUGUCCGGAAUUAUUGGGCGUAAAGCGCGCGCAGGCGGCCUCUUAAGUCUGAUGUGAAAGCCCCGGCUCAACCGGGGGAGGGCCGAUUGGAAACUGGGAGGCUUGAGUAUAGGAGAGAAGAAGUGGAAUUCACGUGUAGCGGUGAAAUGCGUAGAGAUGUGGAGG
Molecule: ribosomal RNA, 378 nt
Filed under: uncultured bacterium
Lineage: Bacteria
Description: bacterial SSU rRNA
Rfam family: Bacterial small subunit ribosomal RNA
Source: RNAcentral